Molecule: non-coding RNA, 69 nt
Organism: Podarcis lilfordi (Lilford's wall lizard)
Lineage: Eukaryota; Metazoa; Chordata; Lepidosauria; Squamata; Lacertidae
Source: the annotation of a GenBank genome assembly
GGAAGGGACAGCGGUUAGAGCGUCUGUUUUGCAUGCAGAAGGUCCCAGGUUCAAUCCCUGGCAUCUCCA